CGGCCCUGCGGCGGGUUCGGUGGGCCCAAUCCCGGGGCGGUGCGGCUGUUUCGGGCGCGGGCCCCGCUUUUCCGCACCCUGCUCCGGCCUCGACUACGGCGAGCCUGAGCGCGGCGGCGGCCCACGCGCAGCGACAGGGAGAGGCACUAUGUCGUCCGAGGCCCAGAGAUGACCCCUUAUGAAGGUGGCUAUUAUCAUGGAAAACUAAUUUUUCCCAGAGAAUUUCCUUUCAAACCUCCCAGUAUCUAUAUGAUCACUCCCAACGGGAGGUUUAAGUGCAACACCAGGCUGUGUCUUUCUAUCACGGAUUUCCACCCGGACACGUGGAACCCGGCCUGGUCUGUCUCCACCAUCCUGACUGGGCUCCUGAGCUUCAUGGUGGAGAAGGGCCCCACCCUGGGCAGUAUAGAGACGUCGGACUUCACGGUGAGUUUUAGAGCCUCUCCCUGGUGGGCCGUCAGCCUUGUGUCUGGGGGGCUGUUCUCUGUUCCUGAGUUGCAGCUGCCUUUUUUUUUUUUUUUUUUUUUUUUUUUUUUUUGAGACGGAGUCUCGCUGUGUCUCCAGGCUGGAGUGCAGUGGCGCAAUCUCGGCUCACUGCAAGCUCCGCCCCCCGGGGUUCACGCCAUUCUCCUGUCUCAGCCUCCCGAGUAGCUGGGACUACAGGCGCCCACCACCACGCCCGGCUAAUUUUUUUUUUGUAUUUUUAGUAGAGACGGGGUUUCGCCGUGUUAACCAGGAUGUCUUGAUUUCCUGACCUCGUGAUCCGCCCUCCUGGGCCUCCCAAAGUGCUGGGAUUACAGGCGUGAGCCACCGAGCCCGGCCGCAGCUGCCUUUCUUCUCAGUAGGCGGGGCUGGGUGGAGUUCCCACCUUGUCCCAGGCACUGUCGUGGAGACUGCUUUGCUCUGUGGCCUCGUGUUCCCCGCUGCCUCUCGGUCUUGCUUUUAUCCACAUCCAGCCUCAUCCACACCCGCCAGGGGCUCCUCCUUGGGAUCUUGGGGUGGGCCAAGGCAGUACCAGUUGCACAGAAGGCCCGGGCCUCUUCAGCGGGGAGCACGGUCU
This 1060-nucleotide long non-coding RNA is filed under the name Pan troglodytes (chimpanzee). RNAcentral's name for it is "long non-coding RNA NONPTRT000788". Lineage: Eukaryota; Metazoa; Chordata; Mammalia; Primates; Hominidae. The record is from RNAcentral.